GGUUAAGCGACUAAGCGUACACGGUGGAUGCCCUGGCAGUCAGAGGCGAUGAAGGACGUGCUAAUCUGCGAUAAGCGCCGGUAAGGUGAUAUGAACCGUUAUAACCGGCGAUUUCCGAAUGGGGAAACCCAGUGUGACUCGUCACACUAUCAUUAACUGAAUCCAUAGGUUAAUGAGGCGAACCGGGGGAACUGAAACAUCUAAGUACCCCGAGGAAAAGAAAUCAACCGAGAUUCCCCCAGUAGCGGCGAGCGAACGGGGAGGAGCCCAGAGCCUGAAUCAGCAUGUGUGUUAGUGGAAGCGUCUGGAAAGGCGCGCGAUACAGGGUGACAGCCCCGUACACAAAAGCGCAUGUGCUGUGAGCUCGAUGAGUAGGGCGGGACACGUGGUAUCCUGUCUGAAUAUGGGGGGACCAUCCUCCAAGGCUAAAUACUCCUGACUGACCGAUAGUGAACCAGUACCGUGAGGGAAAGGCGAAAAGAACCCCGGCGAGGGGAGUGAAAAAGAACCUGAAACCGUGUACGUACAAGCAGUGGGAGCACCCUUUGGGGUGUGACUGCGUACCUUUUGUAUAAUGGGUCAGCGACUUAUAUUCUGUAGCAAGGUUAACCGAAUAGGGGAGCCGGAGGGAAACCGAGUCUUAAUUGGGCGUUAAGUUGCAGGGUAUAGACCCGAAACCCGGUGAUCUAGCCAUGGGCAGGUUGAAGGUUGGGUAACACUAACUGGAGGACCGAACCGACUAAUGUUGAAAAAUUAGCGGAUGACCUGUGGCUGGGGGUGAAAGGCCAAUCAAACCGGGAGAUAGCUGGUUCUCCCCGAAAGCU
This 824-nucleotide ribosomal RNA is filed under the name Salmonella enterica. RNAcentral describes it as "partial 23S ribosomal RNA". It matches the Rfam family "Bacterial large subunit ribosomal RNA", at positions 1 to 867 of the family's 2925-position model. Lineage: Bacteria; Pseudomonadati; Pseudomonadota; Gammaproteobacteria; Enterobacterales; Enterobacteriaceae. The record is from RNAcentral.